GACGAACGCUGGCGGCGUGCCUAAUACAUGCAAGUCGAGCGAAGUUUUUCUGGUGCUUGCACCGGAAAAACUUAGCGGCGAACGGGUGUGUAACACGUAAAGAACCUGCCUCAUAGACUGGGACAACUAUUGGAAACGAUAGCUAAUACCGGAUAACAGCAUUAACUGCAUGGUUGAUGUUUAAAAGUUGGUUUUGCUAACACUAUGAGAUGGCUUUGCUGUGCAUUAGCUAGUUGGUGGGGUAACGGCUUACCAAGGCGACGAUGCAUAGCCGACCUGAGAGGGUGAUCGGCCACACUGGAACUGAGACACGGUCCAGACUCCUACGGGAGGCAGCAGUAGGGAAUCUUCCGCAAUGGGCGAAAGCCUGACGGAGCAACGCCGCGUGAGUGAAGAAGGACUUCGGUUCGUAAAGCUCUGUUGUUAGGGAAGAAUGAUUGUGUAGUAAACAGAGACAGUAGAGACGGUACCUAACCAGAAAGCCACGGCUAACUACGUG
Molecule: ribosomal RNA, 499 nt
Filed under: uncultured bacterium
Lineage: Bacteria
Description: partial 16S ribosomal RNA
Rfam family: Bacterial small subunit ribosomal RNA
Source: RNAcentral